This 641-nucleotide ribosomal RNA is filed under the name uncultured bacterium. RNAcentral describes it as "bacterial SSU rRNA". The stretch from base 1 to 538 matches the Rfam family "Bacterial small subunit ribosomal RNA", at positions 338 to 873 of the family's 1533-position model. The record is from RNAcentral.
CCUACGGGAGGCAGCAGUAAGGAAUAUUGGUCAAUGGAGGAAACUCUGAACCAGCCAUGCCGCGUGCAGGAUGACUGCCCUAUGGGUUGUAAACUGCUUUUAUACGGGAAGAAACCCCGCUACGUGUAGCGGGUUGACGGUACUGUAAGAAUAAGGACCGGCUAACUUCGUGCCAGCAGCCGCGGUAAUACGAAGGGUCCAAGCGUUAUCCGGAUUUAUUGGGUUUAAAGGGUGCGUAGGCGGCUUUUUAAGUCAGUGGUGAAAGCCUGAUGCUCAACAUCAGAACUGCCAUUGAUACUGAAGAGCUUGAGUACAGUUGAGGUUGGCGGAAUGUGUCAUGUAGCGGUGAAAUGCUUAGAUAUGACACAGAACACCGAUUGCGAAGGCAGCUAGCUAAGCUGUAACUGACGCUGAUGCACGAAAGCGUGGGGAGCAAACAGGAUUAGAUACCCUGGUAGUCCACGCCCUAAACGUUGAUAACUCGCUGUUGGCGAUAUACUGCCACGCGCCGACGACGAAGACAUUAAGUUAUACCACCUACGGAAGGUACGGUCGCGAGAGUUAGUAAACGUUAAAGUUAGUAAGUUAGUACGGCGUAGAGACGUUACGGCCGACGGACGACGACGAGGGGAGGUAGGGAG